Molecule: ribosomal RNA, 404 nt
Filed under: Actinomycetes bacterium
Lineage: Bacteria; Bacillati; Actinomycetota; Actinomycetes
Description: Actinobacteria bacterium partial 16S ribosomal RNA
Rfam family: Bacterial small subunit ribosomal RNA
Source: RNAcentral
UGGGGAAUAUUGGACAAUGGGCGCAAGCCUGAUCCAGCCAUGCCGCGUGAGUGAUGAAGGCCCUAGGGUUGUAAAGCUCUUUCACCGGUGAAUAUAAUGACGGUAACCGGAGAAGAAGCCCCGGCCAACUUCGUGCCAGCAGCCGCGGUAAUACGAAGGGGGCUAGCGUUGUUCGGUUUUACUGGGCGUAAAGCGCACGUAGGCGGACUUUUAAGUCAGGGGUGAAAUCCCGGGGCUCAACCCCGGAACUGCAUUUGAUCCUGGAAGUCUUGAGUAGUGUAGAGGUGAGUGGAAUUCCGAGUGUAGAGGUGAAAUUCGUAGAUAUUCGUAGGAACACCAGUGGCGAAGGCGGCUCACUGGACCAUUACUGACGCUGAGGUGCGAAAGCGUGGGGAGCAAACAGG